Molecule: ribosomal RNA, 995 nt
Filed under: uncultured bacterium
Lineage: Bacteria
Description: bacterial SSU rRNA
Rfam family: Bacterial small subunit ribosomal RNA
Source: RNAcentral
GGGGGAUAUUGCACAAUGGGGGAAACCCUGAUGCAGCGACGCCGCGUGGAGGAAGAAGGUUUUCGGAUUGUAAACUCCUGUCGUUAGGGACGAUAAUGACGGUACCUAACAAGAAAGCACCGGCUAACUACGUGCCAGCAGCCGCGGUAAAACGUAGGGUGCAAGCGUUGUCCGGAAUUACUGGGUGUAAAGGGAGCGCAGGCGGACCGGCAAGUUGGAAGUGAAAACUAUGGGCUCAACCCAUAAAUUGCUUUCAAAACUGCUGGCCUUGAGUAGUGCAGAGGUAGGUGGAAUUCCCGGUGUAGCGGUGGAAUGCGUAGAUAUCGGGAGGAACACCAGUGGCGAAGGCGGCCUACUGGGCACCAACUGACGCUGAGGCUCGAAAGUGUGGGUAGCAAACAGGAUUAGAUACCCUGGUAGUCCACACCGUAAACGAUGAUUACUAGGUGUUGGAGGAUUGACCCCUUCAGUGCCGCAGUUAACACAAUAAGUAAUCCACCUGGGGAGUACGACCGCAAGGUUGAAACUCAAAGGAAUUGACGGGGGCCCGCACAAGCAGUGGAGUAUGUGGUUUAAUUCGACGCAACGCGAAGAACCUUACCAAGUCUUGACAUCCCUUGACAGGCAUAGAAAUAUGUUUUCUCUUCGGAGCAAGGAGACAGGUGGUGCAUGGUUGUCGUCAGCUCGUGUCGUGAGAUGUUGGGUUAAGUCCCGCAACGAGCGCAACCCUUAUGGUCAGUUACUACGUAAGAGGACUCUGGCCAGACUGCCGUUGACAAAACGGAGGAAGGUGGGGAUGACGUCAAAUCAUCAUGCCCUUUAUGACUUGGGCUACACACGUACUACAAUGGCGUUAAACAAAGAGAAGCAAGACCGCGAGGUGGAGCAAAACUCAGAAACAACGUCCCAGUUCGGACUGCAGGCUGCAACUCGCCUGCACGAAGUCGGAAUUGCUAGUAAUCGUGGAUCAGCAUGCCACGGUGAAUACGUUCCCG